Acanthosepion pharaonis is the source of this 98-nucleotide non-coding RNA. The record is from the annotation of a GenBank genome assembly. Lineage: Eukaryota; Metazoa; Mollusca; Cephalopoda; Sepiida; Sepiidae.
UUGAAACACCGGUUCCUGUACACUCACCAAAGUUAAACAAUGUUAAGCCUGAUCAGUAUUUAGAUGGCUGACUGCUUGGGAAUACCAGGUGCUGGAAG